Molecule: ribosomal RNA, 775 nt
Filed under: Pontoniphargus ruffoi
Lineage: Eukaryota; Metazoa; Arthropoda; Malacostraca; Amphipoda; Niphargidae
Description: partial large subunit ribosomal RNA
Source: RNAcentral
AGAGUAUAAGCCAAUGGAGCUUGGAAGGCUUCCGCAGUGUCGGCCAUCACAUGUGGUGUGUCGUGAGGCAUGUAGCACGGUUCGUUAGGCGGAGCAUGAGUUGCCGUCCAGCUGUCGUGCGGGGAAUCGGUUUGGGGGUCUUAGGCUUCGGCCGAAGGGCUCCUGGCCGUUUCCUUUUGAAUGAGCGUUCAGAGCUACUGUGUCCUAAUGCGGUUAUGCCCACCACGGCACGUUGUGAGGUCACCCACAGGCUCAAACUGCCGAUCGCGUAUCCAGGACGUUGGCAACGAUGCGUCGUUCGCAGCUCGAUCUAUGGCGGAGCUGUGUGACGCGUGUCUAGUCCUGGGUCGGGCGGCGACCGAGAUAAACCUGGUAUGAUCCUCUUGCGACGAGCUGCUUUCUGGCCAGACCGACGUCCAGGCGCUUCCACUGUGCCGGAAGCGUCAAUCCCAGGCGGUAUGAACCCAGCUGCAUUCUGCAAGGUCUCUCAGCCGGGCGUUGGUCUGAGUGGUGUUAAGUCCAGCACCAUCGGUCACGUCUCGAAACACGGGCCAAGGAGUAUAGCAUGUGUGCAAGUCUAAGGGUCUCACAAAACCCGAAGGCGAAGUGAAAGCAAGACUGUGGCGGGGGAGCUACGGCGAACCCGCCAGCCUUGUGGCGCACCUCGUGUGUUGCUCGGCUUUUAGCAGAGCUGAUCCUGCUUCUCGGUUAAUUCUUGGUGCAGCGCAAGCUCCGGGCUCACGUACAACACUGGUCACCUCGUGUGGCUGUGUUG